ACAAGCAGCGGAGCGUGUGGUUUAAUUCGAUGUUACACAAGAACCUUACCAGGGUUUGACAUAUAAGUAGUAGGGAACUGAAAAGGGACCGACCCUUCGGGAGCUUAAACAGGUGCUGCAUGGCUGUCGUCAGCUCGUGUCGUGAGAUGUUCGGUUAAGUCCGCUAACGAGCGCAACCCUCGCUGUGUGUUACAAGUGUCACACGGAACUGCCGGUCAUAAACCGGAGGAAGGUGGGGAUGACGUCAAGCCAGCAUGGCCUUUAUAUCCUGGGCUACACACACGCUACAAUGGGAAGGGACAAUAGGUAGCGAAGCCGCGAGGUGGAGCCAAUCCAGCAAAACUUCCCUCAGUUCAGAUUGCAGGCUGCAACUCGCCUGCAUGAAGUUGGAGUUGCUAGUAACCGCAGGUCAGCUAUACUGCGGUGAAUACGUUCCCGGGGCUU
This 444-nucleotide ribosomal RNA is filed under the name uncultured Anaerolineaceae bacterium. RNAcentral's name for it is "bacterial SSU rRNA". It matches the Rfam family "Bacterial small subunit ribosomal RNA", at positions 925 to 1382 of the family's 1533-position model. The record is from RNAcentral. Lineage: Bacteria; Bacillati; Chloroflexota; Anaerolineae; Anaerolineales; Anaerolineaceae.